This 577-nucleotide ribosomal RNA is filed under the name Gastrotheca monticola (mountain marsupial frog). RNAcentral's name for it is "partial 16S ribosomal RNA". It matches the Rfam family "Bacterial large subunit ribosomal RNA", at positions 1810 to 2598 of the family's 2925-position model. Lineage: Eukaryota; Metazoa; Chordata; Amphibia; Anura; Hemiphractidae. The record is from RNAcentral.
AAAACAUCGCCUCUUGAAAAACAUAAGAGGUCCAGCCUGCCCAGUGACAUUGUUUAACGGCCGCGGUAUCCUAACCGUGCGAAGGUAGCGUAAUCACUUGUCCUUUAAAUGAGGACUAGUAUGAAUGGCAUCACGAGGAUUAUUCUGUCUCCUUUCUCUAAUCAGUAAAACUAAUCUUCCCGUGAAGAAGCGGGGAUACACUUAUAAGACGAGAAGACCCUAUGGAGCUUUAAACAAAACAACAUUUGUUAACUUCCCCCCUCAAAUUUCAGAAAAACAAUUUUUAUCUUAACACUGUGUUUGUUAGUUUUAGGUUGGGGUGACCGCGGAGAAAAAAGUAACCUCCACAUUGAAAGGGGCUUUCCCCUAAACAAAAAGUCACAACUUUAUGUAUCAACAAAUUGACAUCAAUUGACCCAAUAUUUUGAUCAACGAAACAAGUUACCCUAGGGAUAACAGCGCAAUCCACUUCGAGAGCCCCUAUCGACAGGUGGGUUUACGACCUCGAUGUUGGAUCAGGGUAUCCUAGUGGUGCAGCCGCUACUAAAGGUUCGUUUGUUCAACGAUUAAAACCCUA